Molecule: ribosomal RNA, 490 nt
Filed under: uncultured bacterium
Lineage: Bacteria
Description: partial 16S ribosomal RNA
Rfam family: Bacterial small subunit ribosomal RNA
Source: RNAcentral
AUUGAACGCUGGCGGCAGGCCUAACACAUGCAAGUCGAACGGUAACAGGAAGAAGCUUGCUUCUUUGCUGACGAGUGGCGGACGGGUGAGUAAUGUCUGGGAAACUGCCUGAUGGAGGGGGAUAACUACUGGAAACGGUAGCUAAUACCGCAUAACGUCGCAAGACCAAAGAGGGGGACCUUCGGGCAUCUUGCCAUCGGAUGUGCCCAGAUGGGAUUAGCUAGUAGGUGGGGUAACGGCUAACCUAGGCGACGCUCCCUAGCUGGUGUGAGAGGAUGACCAGCCACACUGGAACUGGGACACGGUCCAGACUCCUACGGGAGGCAGCAGUGGGGAAUAUUGCACAAUGGGCGCAAGCCUGAUGCAGCCAUGCCGCGUGUAUGAAGAAGGCCUUCGGGUUGUAAAGUACUUUCAGCGGGGAGGAAGGGAGUAAAGUUAAGACCUUUGCUCAUUGACGUUACCCGCAGAAGAAGCACCGGCUAACUCCGUG